Molecule: long non-coding RNA, 603 nt
Organism: Pipistrellus kuhlii (Kuhl's pipistrelle)
Lineage: Eukaryota; Metazoa; Chordata; Mammalia; Chiroptera; Vespertilionidae
Exons: 2
Source: RefSeq, a predicted model, not a curated record
UUGUACAUAUACAAAUUUCUAGUGGGGUGACACCCAUUCUCCCACAGCAAGAUUCCUUUUUGAGAGUGGACAGUGAGCAUCUAUAGGUGAAGGUGCUAAGGAAGCAAAUGGUAUCCUAGUUGAGCCUUCACCAUGGAAGCUUGUAUAUGUAGCUGGCCUGGAGAUAAACGAGUAAGAGGAAACAGGAAAUUGAAUGGCAGUAAAGGAGAAAUGAAAGAAAAAGGACUGGGAACAAAUGUGACAUUACCAGCAGAAAGGAGAACAUCAGAAGCGGAACCGCAAGAGAUGAGGGAACCCUAAAGAUGAACAAGUACUAGGACUUCCAAUAAUAAUUCACACUUAUUAGUACUUACUGUGUGCUAGGCACUGGAUAUACAUUUUAUAUGAGUUUCUUCAUCUCAUUUAAUCCUUACAACAAACACUGUGAUAGACACAAUUGUGAUGCCUAUUUUACAAAAGAUAAAAAUGCUCUUUAAAUGAAAAAACAAAACCCAAGUCCCCCACAACAUUUAAAAGAAGUUAAGAGGGGAGAGGAUAAAAAGAACCAGAAAAAAAAUGGGACAAAUGGCACAAAAUCAGAUAGUAGAAAUAAGUAUAAAUAUA